GAAGGGNNCAAACGUUGCUCGGAAUCAUUGGGCGUAAAGCGCACGUAGGCGGCCCUGUAAGUCGGAUGUGAAAUCCCUCGGCUCAACCGAGGACGUGCAUCCGAAACUGCAGAGCUCGAGUAUGGAAGAGGGUCGCGGAAUUCCCGGUGUAGAGGUGAAAUUCGUAGAUAUCGGGAGGAACACCAGUGGCGAAGGCGGCGACCUGGGCCAAUACUGACGCUGAGGUGCGAAAGCGUGGGGAGCAAACAGGAUUANAUACCCUGGUAGUCCACGCCGUAAACGAUGAGUGCUAGGUGCUGCGGGUAUUGACCCCUGCGGUGCCGUAGCUAACGCGUUAAGCACUCCGCCUGGGGAGUACGGCCGCAAGGCUA
RNAcentral lists this ribosomal RNA (371 nucleotides) under uncultured bacterium. Its description in RNAcentral is "bacterial SSU rRNA". It matches the Rfam family "Bacterial small subunit ribosomal RNA", at positions 527 to 896 of the family's 1533-position model. The record is from RNAcentral.